AUCCAGCAGACGAGUCCCAAAUAGGACGAAACGCGCGUCCAGGAU
RNAcentral lists this non-coding RNA (45 nucleotides) under Schistosoma mansoni. Lineage: Eukaryota; Metazoa; Platyhelminthes; Trematoda; Strigeidida; Schistosomatidae. The record is from RNAcentral. RNAcentral also lists the same sequence under 1 other name.